RNAcentral lists this long non-coding RNA (2944 nucleotides) under Mus musculus (house mouse). RNAcentral describes it as "long non-coding RNA chr5:86112527-86115471". The record is from RNAcentral. Lineage: Eukaryota; Metazoa; Chordata; Mammalia; Rodentia; Muridae.
AGUUCCCUACUGAUGGUUCCCUUACAUUAAGGCAAAAAGAAAUCCACAGUAUUAUGAGCUGAGCUUCUGAAUUAAGUACACUUUCCAAAAUAAAGUAGUGCUGGAGUAUCUCGGUAACAAUGCUACUCAUUAGUGUCAUGACUGAAGUAGUAUCUCACUGGAGGGCCGGGCAAAUCUUCAUCUCCAUCAGCGUCUGGGGCAAAUGACACAGUAAGAUCCACAUAUUUCUUCUCAGUGGAAGGCUUCACAAGUUUGUGCAUUCUAAGAAUAAGCAAAGAUAAGUACUUUGGUGACUUGAUUAAAUGAAAGAACUUUUUGUUACUUUGUACUAGUCAGAGAUUGAACUUGCAUAUAUACUUUAAAAUAUGAAUAAUUUGCCUAUUCUUAUACAUUAAUUUUUCCUUACUAAAAGCUCCAAAUUGAAAGCAUGUAUCUAAUAGGACGUCCUCUGGUCAUGACAAAAAAGAAACAAAAAUCCCAAAGAGUAAUGCAGUGAUUCUUCCUUCACUGCCAAGUUUAGAGACAUAAUGGAUCUUCUAGCAUUUUUUUUUAAGAGAAAAAAAAAAGUAAGUUCAUUAAAAUCUUAAAAUACAAACUGCGCAGCCUAUUCUUUAUUUUAUUGAUUUGUGCCAGGGAUGGGGGGUAGGAGGGGAGCCGCUGUAGUGUCCUCUCUGAGAGGAGAUAAGGAGUCCUUGAGGGAAGAGUGAGUCAGAUGUGGUGGUGAUCAGUGGAAUCUUGCAGCUCUGACUGACUAGUGAUCAGGUUGCUUUUUCAGUUGUGCAGGUUUAGUAGAACAAAGACAGACUAAUGGUUAUCUGAGAAGUACAGAUGAUAUUACUUUGUCUCCAGACAUGUGAUUUUUUUCAUUUUGUGUCCAGGGUUACAAGUUCAGUUAUAAUUAGAAAGUACAAUUAGAAUAUGCUAUUUUUAUUUUUAGCCCUAUAACUCCAAUUCAAAGACUCUAAACACUGUCUCCAUGAAAGCAAGCACACUGUUACGUGAUAGCCUGCUUUUAAGCUGACAGUAUUUACAGUUUUAAACAGAUAAACAGAAAAUAACUGAACUGGUCUUUUCUACAAACAGCAAAUACUAACACCUAACUCCUUUUAUCAUCUAAGGUAUACAGUAGGAAAGGUUUUUUAGUCCAUCUAUCUUACUUACCAAGUUCUACUUCUCCAGGGGCAUACUCUGUAUGAUUCCUUAUCUUUAAACUAUACUUUUGGGGAGCUCUAGGUGUACUGUAAAAAGAGGCCUUACAUCUGUUACCAAGUCAACUGCCAGUUGGAGUUUGUCAGCUAUCUCUAAGCUUUCCCUGUUCUAGUUACACUGUUUCAGUUUGCUUAGGCCUCAAAAAGAAAUUCCUAACUUUGUGCUUCUCUGAGCGUAUCAUGAUCUCCACAGCAUAAGGAAGACUUCCAAAUAGGGCCAGAUAUAAUUAUUUCCCUAAAAGCAGGAGGGAUAGUGAGUUUAUGACUUCCCUAAAAGGACUCAGAUAUAAUUUUCUCAGGAAAAGACAUAAAAUGAAUCAUAACAGAAAGUCCCCCAAGAAUGCAGCAUGCAGAGACCAAAACCUAAAAGUUAGAGACAGAAAGACAGCAAUGACAGCAUUCCACUUUGCUUUGCUGGAACUGUGUCAAGUAGCUGUGCUGGCUGCAUGACUCUCACCACUUCCAUAUCUACGGCUAUGCAAGGUUUGGCUGCCAGGCUAUGAAUUAUGUUAUCUAUUUAACCCCCCAUGAUGCUCUUUCCAUUUUACAAAGGUACUUUGUUCCAUACAUAACUUCACUCUAAAAAGAGUGAAAUGGUAAAAACCAUUCAUAUCCAUAUCACCUGACUUUCCAAAGAGAUCAUGUGUAUUCUUUUUAUUUUUCAAUAUGCAUAAGCUGUUUGCUUUUGCCUCCUUGAAAUGCUCUAAGGAAAUCUAACCCAAAACAGAGGUUUGAUUUAACAAAGUCCAUGGUAUGAUGUCAUUAUAAUAAUGAUUUUAGUUACAGUCUGAAUUAAUAAUUAAUGUGCCAGUUUCUUUGAGUAGACUAUUUGCUAUCAGGGAUGUUUGUAUAAUAACAAAUAGUAAGAACUAAAAGUUAUGAAAUAUUCCUCCUGUGCUAUUACAUUUUUAGGGCGUACUAAUACUUACUAAUACUUUAACACUAAAUAGCUAUGGGAACAAUCAUGGAAUAGAAUUUAUAUUUCAAAGCUACUCAAGGAAACAAAACUUAAUAAAUAACCACCUAAGCCUGCGAGCAUCAGUCUUUAUAAAAAGUCUUAAUCCAUUGAUCUCAUUCACUAUUCUAAAGUGUCCAGUCACUUAGGUAAUCAAUAAAUACCUGCUAAAUUAGGGAUCACACACUGGCCAACUCUCAUGUUACUUUGCAGCAAAUUUAAAAUUACUAACCAAUUCAUAACCAUACAUUUCACUUACAUCUAGGUGGCAGACAUCAUAAGAACUCUAAAUACAGCUCUUAAGUUCUCUAGAUGAUAUUUAGGAGUCUUAAUAAAAGCAACUAUAAGACAAAUUAAUGCUUACUAAUAUAACCAUUUUUAAGGUGAAGAUGAUUAAGAUAAUUAUAGUAUAUGUGAUUAACUUCAACUGAUAACCAAAAGUUGAGAGUUAUGUUAAAGAAAAUAACUUUGAGAGUAUAAAAGAAAAUAAUACUGCAUAGGUAGUAUGAAUGUUUUUACUCAUGGCUAUCUUGUGCCAGGCAUUGGUCUAACUGAUUGAGAUACAACAAUGAAGAAAUCUAAUAAAGAUUUAUAUCCUGUGAAAGCUAGUUUGUAGUGAGAGGGGAGAAUAUAAUGACAGAAAUAACAAUACAGGCAAAACAUGCUGUAGCUAUUACAUAAUGGAAAGUGCUAUGAAGAAAGAGGUAUAGGAGAGCUUAGGGAAGGUAAGUGUUUGCUAUGCUGCAAGCACGAAGAUGUGAGUUUGGUCCCUAGACACCAC